Molecule: ribosomal RNA, 257 nt
Filed under: uncultured bacterium
Lineage: Bacteria
Description: partial 16S ribosomal RNA
Rfam family: Bacterial small subunit ribosomal RNA
Source: RNAcentral
UACGUAGGGUGCAAGCGUUUGUCCGGAAUUAUUGGGCGUAAAGAGCUCGUAGGCGGUUUGUCGCGUCUGCUGUGAAAACCCGAGGCUCAACCCCCGAGCCUGCAGUGGAUACGGGGCAGACUAGAGGUAGGUAGGGGGAGAAUGGAAUUCCCCGGUGUAGCGGUGAAAUGCGCAGAUAUCGGGAGGAACACCGGUGGCGAAGGCGGUUCUCUGGGCCUUACCUGCGCUGAGGAGCGAAAGCGUGGGGAGCGAACAGG